GGAAUCUAAAAGGAACAUGGCUGCAGGCGAGGAGCAGUCUCAAAACAGCCACUUCCAGCCAGUACACACAAAUAAACCUGAACGCUGAACUUCAAGAGAACCUCGUAAAAAGAGAAUUUUUGCAAUUAAAGUCACAAUGUGAGAAUCCUUUAUAUUGACUUUAAAAUCAAGCCAGUAAUAGACAAAACCAUUAAAGUGACAGAGCCUGGAGCGACUGUGUGCUGCUUUACAAUGAAAUGGCUUGUUUUCUCAUACUUUGCUGCUGACACAGUUGCCAUAUUAGAACAAAAUAAAUGGUUAGCGUCCUUGUUAUUAUCUCUCUUAAACCCAGUUGAACGGUCUGAACGCCUGCCAUUGUUCAGUCUCUGUGAUAAGGGGCAUGUGAUUCACCACUACGGCUCAGUAAAUGAAGGAUGGAGAUGAGCCACUGACAUGAAUACCCUGCCCUUGACUGAGCCAGGAUGCGAUCUCACGACUGCAUGUGAAAGCGCUCACUGGCACGGUGCCCGUCAGAUCGAGACGUCAGAGCCGCACACACUCACGCUGGCACGGGUCCCAUCGCUGCGUCCGCCCAUGCGAGGCCACCGGGCUGUGACGUUACAGAGGGAUAAUUUUGGGAUGACGCAUGCCGGUUCUCUGCGUGGAAUCAUUUUGGCUGCAUGGGUUUUUCUGGCUCAAUUAGCAGACUCUCUUUCUGCUGAAGGGGGAUUCAGCAUGUGACAGAGAGCGAGAGAGAGAGAGAGAGAGAGAGAGCACAGAACGGGUCGAGUGUCCUGUGUGUUUGUGUGUGUCCCGACGGCCCGCAGCAUUACCCAGUCUUAUGGAUCGGAGCCCCACAGAGCCGGACUUAACAAGCCUGGACUGCAGCAAUACUUGCUGAUCUGCUGAAUCCCACUGAUGUUAAUUGAUGGGCUAAGUUAGAAGAAAGAAUAAAUAAAGGCAGUCGGACAGUAGCUGCAGGUCUCUGACUCACUCAAUGGGUAACUGAGCAGAUGUACUGUAGUAAAAAGCACUGAAUGUUCAGAAUAUAUUCUUUUGUGAAGCAACAUAAAAUAAUAAGCAAACUAUUCAUUCAACAGAUGCAUGCAGCCAAAACUUUCAAUUCAAUAAAUCUGAUGCCACACUCCAAUAACCAUUGAUUAAUUCAUGGAAAAUAUUAAAUAUUACAACACAUUGCUUUAUUUCUGUAUAAAACAGCAGUUGCAGUUCUGUCUUUUAAAGGGGCAUGUGAUGAGCGUCUCAAUAGCAACAAGAGGAAAAAUGUUGGGAGCAAAAACAUGCAAGGGAGAAAGCAAACAGAUGAAAGUGCUGGAGCAGCAGAACUGAAGGCCUAAAUCUAUUUAAUCACAAAAUAAGGACAGUUCAAGAAGUGGCAGUGUAAUAUUCCCUGCAUAAAAAUCUUCCCAACCUCUCGCAAUGACCUGCAGCUGCUCUACCGGCUGCUGCCUUAUAACAGAAUACAUCUAUGUGGCAAAGAAGCUUGAAAGCACCGAAAAAUGAUUUCAUCUAUCUGCUGCAGAUUGGCCUUGGAAAUUAAUAUACCCAUGCCGGGCAGACCUGACCAGGCUUGCCACCAAAACAAGAGCCUGCGGAGUCAUUACAGGUAAUAAAUAAAUAAAUGGAAAUGAAAGAGGAAUGGGAGGUAAUUGCAAGGGAGACUGAGAUAGGAGCGUAUAAGCGAUUCGCUCGCAGGUAUGUGUGUGUGUGUGUGUGCGUGUGUGUGUGUCCAGUCCACAGUGAGGCAGUACAGACACAAACUCUCACUCACACACACACAAACACACCCUGAACUUACACAGAGCAAUUAAGGUGCUGUUGAGAUGAUACUCUUUGUGCUUCACAGAUGUAAAACACUGGUUCUAAGAGCCGAUUAUCAGCUUUAGAGAAAGCAAUCAUCAAACACAUGUUCUCUGUACCGACAACACAAAUUGACACCAGUAUCUUUGAGCUCACAUAAUGCUGCUGCUUUCCUCUUCUAACAAGCCCCGAUAAUCUGAAGAACCAUCAAACUUACUGACCUGAAGGUGAGAAACUUAUGGAAGAAAAAUAAUAUCACUUUGAAACAUAAAAGCAUGUUGAAUAGCAUUAACUGAAAAAAUAAUGCAUUGCAGUAACAGUGUUUGCUUUUUAAUGUCUUGUAUUUUCAGGGCUUGCAUUGUUAGGUCCUGAAAUGUAACAAGUAGUACAAGUUGUACAGUGUUAAACAACUUCUUAAUCUUUAAUAUAAAAACAACAACAUAUCUACAAAUAUAGUUUGGGAACAGCAAGUUUUUGAAAGAAGUAUCUUCUGUUCAUCAUCAAGGCUUCCUUUAUUUGAUCAAAAAUACAGAAAAGACAGUAAUAUUGUGAAAUAUUAUUACAAUUUAAAAUAAGUUUUCUAUUUUAAUAUACUUAAAAAUAUAAUUUAUUCAUGUGAUGCAAAGCAUGUCUUGACUAUCAUUUUUUUUUAUAUAAAUUUAACACAUCCUUGCUGAAUAAAAGUAUUAAUUUCUUUCAAAAGAGUUUCUAUUUUUAAUAAAUGCUGUUCUUUAACUUUUUAUUCACCAAAGAAUCUUGAAAAAAGUAUCAGGAUCCAAACAAAUAUAAAAAAAAAAAUAAUAAUAAUAAUAAUAAUUACAACAUUGAUAUAAUAAGUCAGCAUAUUAGAAUGAUUUCUGAAGGAUCAUGUGACACUGGAGACUGGAGUAAUGAUGCUGAAAAUACAGCUUUGAUCACAGCAAUAAAUGACAUUUUAAAACAUAUAUUCACAUAGAAAACAGCUAUUUUAAAUUGUAAUAAUAUUUCACAAUAUACCGUAUUUUUGGUCACAUAAAUGCAGCCUUGCAGAAGAGCAGAAGAGACUAUAUAUUCAAGCACUUGUGGAUGGACUGAAAGAGAAUAAUUCACUGGUCUGUUAUUUCUGUGCUCUUAUUGUGUCUCCAGACCAUUUGCUAUGUGCUCAGACUGUCAUGCUACACACACCAAACAAUUCAGACAGACACAAAAAGAUGUCUAACAGGUCAGCAGUGAACAUGCCGCAGCUCUUUUGAGGAGUCUGAUUAGACAGGCAUUCAUGCAUGGCACGGCAAUAUGGCACAAAGAAAAGCCACUACGAUGAGAUGAUUUCAGCCGUUAGACACUUUGGUUAGACACCUGUGGACCUCUAUUUGACAACAUGAUCUGAUAAUGAGAGAUACUGAGCGGCUUAUUACGAACACUUCAAUAGCAAAGAAUACUGUGUUAUAAUAUCAAAGUAAUAUGAACAUAAAGAGCAUUUUUCAGACUUUGUAGUCGUUCUAACUGCUGGUAAGAUGUCUAAUUCUGUUGAAUUGAAAGAGUGCUCAGUGUGGGUCAGGGAUGUUCUUUACUUCACAAAAUGAGAGAAAGUUAGAUACUCUCUUCAUCGAUCCAGCAGUAUGUUUGUCAAGCACACGUCCAAACUCUCCAGCUUGAUCCUCCCCACCCUUGAUGUACUUUCCAAUUCUGUAUUGCUUGGUGAAGGUAUUGUAGGAUUGUGUUUAUGUGAGAUACUGUAUUCAGAAUGUAUUUCUUUCCUUUUCUCUUUUUGUGUUUAUGUAUUUUUUAAAACUUCAGUGUAUUUGCUCACUAUCACUGUUAUUUUUUCUCUGUUGUCUCUGCUUUUUUCAUUCUACCUUUGUAAUGUUUCUUUAAAAUGUAUAAAUAAAUUAUUUUAAAAAAGAAAAAGGAAAAAAAAAACAAAUAUGCAGCAUUCCAUUUAGGGAUACUUCAAUUCUACACUGUAAAAAUAAAUCUUGUUUUGAAGAAUAAAAUGUAUAUUUUAUGAGAAAA
Long non-coding RNA from Cyprinus carpio carpio, 3789 nucleotides. Lineage: Eukaryota; Metazoa; Chordata; Actinopteri; Cypriniformes; Cyprinidae. The record is from Ensembl.